This 74-nucleotide transfer RNA is filed under the name Camelus bactrianus (Bactrian camel). It matches the Rfam family "tRNA". From Rfam's summary of the family: Transfer RNA (tRNA) molecules are approximately 80 nucleotides in length. Their secondary structure includes four short double-helical elements and three loops (D, anti-codon, and T loops). The record is from Rfam by way of RNAcentral. RNAcentral also lists the same sequence under 3 other names. Lineage: Eukaryota; Metazoa; Chordata; Mammalia; Artiodactyla; Camelidae.
GAGGGUAUAGCUCAAAGGGGUAGAGCACAUGCUUAGCACGCAUGAGGUCCUGGGUUCAAUCCCCAGUCCCUCCA